RNAcentral lists this ribosomal RNA (430 nucleotides) under Acidobacteriota bacterium. RNAcentral's name for it is "Acidobacteria bacterium partial 16S ribosomal RNA". It matches the Rfam family "Bacterial small subunit ribosomal RNA", at positions 355 to 776 of the family's 1533-position model. Lineage: Bacteria; Pseudomonadati; Acidobacteriota. The record is from RNAcentral.
UGGGGAAUAUUGGACAAUGGGCGCAAGCCUGAUCCAGCCAUGCCGCGUGUGUGAAGAAGGCCUUUUGGUUGUAAAGCACUUUAAGCGAGGAGGAGGCUACUUGGAUUAACACUCUAGGAUAGUGGACGUUACUCGCAGAAUAAGCACCGGCUAACUCUGUGCCAGCAGCCGCGGUAAUACAGAGGGUGCGAGCGUUAAUCGGAUUUACUGGGCGUAAAGCGUGCGUAGGCGGCUUCUUAAGUCGGAUGUGAAAUCCCUGAGCUUAACUUAGGAAUUGCAUUCGAUACUGGGAAGCUAGAGUAUGGGAGAGGAUGGUAGAAUUCCAGGUGUAGCGGUGAAAUGCGUAGAGAUCUGGAGGAAUACCGAUGGCGAAGGCAGCCAUCUGGCCUAAUACUGACGCUGAGGUACGAAAGCAUGGGGAGCAAACAGG